RNAcentral lists this ribosomal RNA (460 nucleotides) under uncultured bacterium. RNAcentral's name for it is "partial 16S ribosomal RNA". It matches the Rfam family "Bacterial small subunit ribosomal RNA", at positions 338 to 795 of the family's 1533-position model. The record is from RNAcentral.
CCUACGGGUGGCAGCAGUGAGGAAUAUUGGUCAAUGGGCGCGAGCCUGAACCAGCCAAGUAGCGUGAAGGAUGACUGCCCUACGGGUUGUAAACUUCUUUUAUAAAGGAAUAAAGUGAGGCACGUGUGCCUUUUUGUAUGUACUUUAUGAAUAAGGAUCGGCUAACUCCGUGCCAGCAGCCGCGGUAAUACGGAGGAUCCGAGCGUUAUCCGGAUUUAUUGGGUUUAAAGGGAGCGUAGAUGGGUUGUUAAGUCAGUUGUGAAAGUUUGCGGCUCAACCGUAAAAUUGCAAUUGAUACUGGCAGUCUUGAGUACAGUUGAGGUAGGCGGAAUUCGUGGUGUAGCGGUGGAAUGCGUAGAUAUUGGGAAGAACACCAGCGGCGAAGGCGAUUCACUGGACUGUAACUGACACUGAGGCACGAAAGCGUGGGGAGCAAACAGGAUUAGAUACCCCUGUAGUC